AACUUUUAACAAUGGAUCACUUGGCUCUCGCAUCGAUGAAGAACGCAGCGAAAUGCGAUAAGUAAUGUGAAUUGCAGCAUUCAGUGAAUCAUCGAAUCUUUGAACGCAUCUUGCGCUCCUUGGUAUUCCGAGGAGCAUGCCUGUUUGAGUGUCAUAAAGUUCUCAACCACAUUGUGAUGUGGAUUGGACAUGGGAAUUUUUGCAGGCCUUGCAAAGAGGUCUGCUUUCCUGAAACAGAUUAGUGGUAUCUGAGCAGACACCUACUACGGGUGUGAUAAACCAUCUAUGCCUAUUUGUAGAAUGCUGCGACAGGACUGCUUCGAAAAUCUCAUUUGUUGACCAAUUUGACCUCAAAUCAGGUAGGACUACCCGCUGAACUUAAGCAUAUCAAUAAGCGGAGGCU
Molecule: unclassified non-coding RNA, 403 nt
Filed under: uncultured Inocybe
Lineage: Eukaryota; Fungi; Basidiomycota; Agaricomycetes; Agaricales; Cortinariaceae
Description: sequence contains ITS2
Rfam family: 5.8S ribosomal RNA (bases 1-154)
Source: RNAcentral